AAAUAAAAAAAUAAGAGCAAAAAAUAAUAUAGUAACAUUGUGUCAAAAAGUUAUUAUAACUUAAAAUUAAAGACUAUCAUACUACAUAUUUUCUGAAAUAAAGUAUGAUCAUAUACACAGCAGAUGCACCUAGCAAGGUAAAGAUCUUAUACUAAAAUACCUAUCGAUUAACCUGAAUUAGAAACUUUAGAAAUUAGAAUAAGAUGGACGUGGGUUCAAUUCCCACCA
This 228-nucleotide small RNA is filed under the name Compsopogon caeruleus. Its description in RNAcentral is "partial transfer-messenger RNA". The record is from RNAcentral. Lineage: Eukaryota; Rhodophyta; Compsopogonophyceae; Compsopogonales; Compsopogonaceae.